CGGCGGACGGGUGAGUAACACGUGGAUAACCUACCUAUAAGACUGGGAUAACUUCGGGAAACCGGAGCUAAUACCGGAUAAUAUUUUGAACCGCAUAGUUCAAAAGUAAAAGACGGUCUUGCUGUCACUUAUAGAUGGAUCCGCGCUGCAUUAGCUAGUUGGUAAGGUAACGGCUUACCAAGGCAACGAUGCAUAGCCGACCUGAGAGGGUGAUCGGCCACACUGGAACUGAGACACGGUCCAG
RNAcentral lists this ribosomal RNA (244 nucleotides) under uncultured Staphylococcus sp. RNAcentral's name for it is "partial 16S ribosomal RNA". It matches the Rfam family "Bacterial small subunit ribosomal RNA", at positions 96 to 334 of the family's 1533-position model. The record is from RNAcentral. Lineage: Bacteria; Bacillati; Bacillota; Bacilli; Caryophanales; Staphylococcaceae.